Hypomesus transpacificus is the source of this 1061-nucleotide long non-coding RNA. RefSeq lists it as uncharacterized. NCBI's taxonomy places the organism in Eukaryota, Metazoa, Chordata, Actinopteri, Osmeriformes, Osmeridae. The record is from RefSeq and is a predicted model, not a curated record. The transcript is spliced from 3 exons.
ACUCACCCUAUGUAAGAAAUUGGAAAAUGCAACAAUAAAACAAGAAAAACUGAAAAAUGUGACAACUUUAAUCACGCAAGCUCUCAUACAAUCCAACCUAAACACACACAUCCCUUUAGUUGGAAAGUCACCGAAAGACAGCGAAGUGCAGAUCAUUCAUGGAAAGUCAUCAACCUUAUUAAAAAUGCUGGUGGCAUUAACACACAAGAAAGAGAACAAACGAAGGUUUGAGUUGCCCAGAUCAGCCACAAGGAGAGACCAGAGGGGGUAACUGGACAUCACCCAAACGGGUCUCUCAACUGGACCGUGAGCCAAAUUAAUAAUCUUGGUGGAUGUAACUGUUAACCCUUAGCUCAAUUAUCUGCAACGUCAUGCUUUGGUUUAAAACACUUUCGUUUCACGACUAUACUUUUUUUUUUUUUUGCGUCUUAAGCGAAGAUUGAUUGUGUUGAUGUCGUAUGCCCCUAUUUGACACAGGACCCUUAAAGUCUUGAUCCGGACAAGGCUGGUGUCUGUGCUCAGUGUGGAUGUGGCACCUCUGCUUCCUGUAACAAUGUUUUUGUCGCAAAACAGUCUCACGAUUGACUCACCAGUCAUGAUGCCCCCAAGGCCUAGCUUAAUUAAGCUGUAAAAACCCAGGGAGCAUUUGGCAGGUGCCUCUUUACCUUGGUUUGGGACUCGCUUUUUUGGCUGCGGUGCAUCGGCUCAUUAUGAACCUAUAAUUAAGUUGCAGUUUAAUUUUAUUAUUAUUGCGGUCUGUUAAUUAGCUGAACUUUUAGGAUUUUUUUACGCAAUGGUCACCGGGGACGUAAAUGUGUUAAACUAAAGAUAUUUUUAAGAAGUCACCCAGCCUACUGUUUGCAGUAUAUCCUGUUCUGUCAGUUACGCGACUCAUCUUCGUGAUUGUGCGGAUGUGUGUGUCGCACCAGCACCUGUUGGUUCUGCUACAGGUGUUUGUGUAUAGAACUUGCAACCGUGGCACUUACAAGGAACGCUUACAUUCUCAUGAUUUGCUCUUAAUCCAAAGCAAGCUGAUUUGCCCCCCCCCCCCCCCCCCCCCC